RNAcentral lists this ribosomal RNA (380 nucleotides) under uncultured eukaryote. Its description in RNAcentral is "partial 18S ribosomal RNA". It matches the Rfam family "Eukaryotic small subunit ribosomal RNA", at positions 592 to 976 of the family's 1831-position model. The record is from RNAcentral.
CAAUAGCGUAUAUUAAAGUUGUUGCGGUUAAAAAGCUCGUAGUUGGAUUUCUGCUGAGAACGACCGGUCCGCCCUCUGGGUGUGUAUCUGGCUCUUUCUUGGCAUCUUCUUGGUGAACGUUGCUGCACUUGACUGUGUGGAGCGCUACCCAGGACUUUUACUUUGAGGAAAUUAGAGUGUUUCAAGCAGGCAUACGCCUUGAAUACAUUAGCAUGGAAUAAUAAGAUAGGACCUCGGUUCUAUUUUGUUGGUUUCUAGAGCUGAGGUAAUGAUUAAUAGGGAUAGUUGGGGGCAUUCGUAUUUAACUGUCAGAGGUGAAAUUCUUGUAUUUGUUAAAGACGGACUACUGCGAAAGCAUUUGCCAAGGAUGUUUUCAUUGA